RNAcentral lists this transfer RNA (75 nucleotides) under Candidatus Saccharimonadota bacterium. RNAcentral's name for it is "tRNA-Glu". It matches the Rfam family "tRNA". Rfam says of the family: Transfer RNA (tRNA) molecules are approximately 80 nucleotides in length. Their secondary structure includes four short double-helical elements and three loops (D, anti-codon, and T loops). The record is from RNAcentral. Lineage: Bacteria; Candidatus Saccharimonadota.
GGCCUCUUCGUCUAACGGUUAGGACACCAGGUUCUCAUCCUGGCAAUAGGAGUUCGAUUCUCCUAGAGGUCACCA